Molecule: ribosomal RNA, 2892 nt
Filed under: human oral metagenome
Description: bacterial LSU rRNA
Rfam family: Bacterial large subunit ribosomal RNA
Source: RNAcentral
AGAGUAAGUGGUGGAUGCCUUGGCUAGUAGAGGCGAUGAAAGACGUGCCAGGCUGCGAUAAGUCUCGGGGAGCCGUCAAGGGGCUUUGAUCCGGGAAUUUCUGAAUGGGGCAACCCAGUUAAGCGCGAGCUUAACUACCUAAUAUGGAGCGAACGAGGGGAAUUGAAACAUCUUAGUACCCUCAGGAAAAGAAAUCAAAAGAGAUUACGCUAGUAGCGGCGAGCGAACGCGUAAGAGGGCAAACCGUUAGUUUACUAACGGGGUUGUAGGACUGCGAUAUAGACUAAACUUAGCUAAUAGAAUAAUCUGGAAAGAUUAAGCAUAGAGGGUGAUACUCCCGUAUAUGAAAGCUUUGUUUUACUUAGCAGUAUCCUGAGUAGGGCGGAACACGUGAUAUUCUGUCUGAAGCUGGGUCGACCACGAUCCAACCCUAAAUACUACUACUAGACCGAUAGCGCACAAGUACCGUGAGGGAAAGGUGAAAAGAACUGAGGUGAUCAGAGUGAAAUAGAACCUGAAACCAUUUACUUACAAUCAUUCAGAGCCCUAUGAUUUAUCAGGGUGAUGGACUGCCUUUUGCAUAAUGAGCCUGCGAGUUGUGGUGUCUGGCGAGGUUAAGGAAACCCGGAGCCGUAGCGAAAGCGAGUCUUAAUAGGGCGUUUAGUCAGAUGCUGCAGACCCGAAACGAAGUGAUCUAUCCAUGAGCAGGUUGAAACCGGUGUAAGAACCGGUGGAGGACCCAACCGACGGCCGUUGAAAAGGCUCCGGAUGACUUGUGGAUAGGGGUGAAAGGCCAAUCAAACAUCGUGAUAGCUGGUUCUCUCCGAAAUAUAUUUAGGUAUAGCGUCAUGUAGUAACACUGGGGGGUAGAGCACUGAAUGGGCUAGGGCAUACACCAAUGUACCAAACCCUAUCAAACUCCGAAUACCUAGUGUGUAAUCAUGGCAGUCAGGCGGCGAGUGAUAAAAUCCGUCGUCGAGAGGGGAACAACCCAGACUAACAGCUAAGGUCCCUAAAUCUCAUUUAAGUGGAAAACGAUGUGGAGUUACUUAAACAACCAGGAGGUUGGCUUAGAAGCAGCCAUCCUUUAAAGAAAGCGUAAUAGCUCACUGGUCUAGUGAUUAUGCGCGGAAAAUAUAACGGGGCUAAAAUAAGUACCGAAGUCGUAGAUUUGAAUUUUAUUCAAGUGGUAGGAGAGCGUCCUAUUCAGCGUUGAAGGUGUACCGGUAAGGAGCACUGGAGCGGAUAGGAGUGAGCAUGCAGGCAUGAGUAGCGUUAAAAUACGUGAGAAUCGUAUUCGCCGAAAACCCAAGGUUUCCUACGCGAUGCUCGUCAUCGUAGGGUUAGUCGGGUCCUAAGCAAAGUCCGAAAGGGGUAUGCGAUGGAAAAUCGGUUAAUAUUCCGAUACCAAUAUUAGUGUGCGAUGAAAGGACGCUUAAAGUUAGUGGAGCUAGCUGAUGGAAGUGCUAGUCUAAGUGUGUAGGUUGAGUUAUAGGCAAAUCCGUAACUCUUUAUCCGAGACAUUAAAGGUCUUUGACGCUCUUCGGAGUAGAUGAGAAAUCCAUGAUACUAUCGAGCCAAGAAAAGUUUCUAAGUUUAGCUGAUAUUGCCCGUACCGUAAACCGACACAGGUGGGUGGGAUGAGUAUUCUAAGGCGCGUGGAAGAACUCUCUUCAAGGAACUCUGCAAAAUAGCACCGUAUCUUCGGUAUAAGGUGUGCCUAACUUUGUGAAGGAUUUACUCCGUAAGCAUUGAAGGUUACAACAAAGAGUCCCUCCCGACUGUUUACCAAAAACACAGCACUCUGCUAACUCGUAAGAGGAUGUAUAGGGUGUGACGCCUGCCCGGUGCUCGAAGGUUAAUUGAUGACGUUAGCUCUGCAAAGCGUUUGAUCGAAGCCCGAGUAAACGGCGGCCGUAACUAUAACGGUCCUAAGGUAGCGAAAUUCCUUGUCGAUUAAAUAUCGACCUGCAUGAAUGGCGUAACGAGAUGGGAGCUGUCUCGAAGAGGGAUCCAGUGAAAUUGUAGUGGAGGUGAAAAUUCCUCCUACCCGCGGCAAGACGGAAAGACCCCGUGGACCUUUACUACAGCUUGACACUGCUAUUGGGAUAAAAAUGUGCAGGAUAGGUGGGAGGCUUUGAUCCAUAGACGCCAGUUUAUGGUGAGCCAUUGUUGAGAUACCACUCUUUUUUAUUCUGAUAGCUAACUAGCUUGAGUUAUCCUCAAGUAGGACAAUGUCUGGUGGGUAGUUUGACUGGGGCGGUCGCCUCCCAAAAUGUAACGGAGGCUUACAAAGGUUGGCUCAGAACGGUUGGAAAUCGUUCGCAGAGUAUAAAGGCAAAAGCCAGCUUAACUGCGAGACAUACACGUCAAGCAGGGACGAAAGUCGGUCUUAGUGAUCCGGUGGUUCUGUGUGGAAGGGCCAUCGCUCAAAGGAUAAAAGGUACCCCGGGGAUAACAGGCUGAUCUCCCCCAAGAGCUCACAUCGACGGGGAGGUUUGGCACCUCGAUGUCGGCUCAUCGCAUCCUGGGGCUGGAGCAGGUCCCAAGGGUUGGGCUGUUCGCCCAUUAAAGCGGUACGCGAGCUGGGUUCAGAACGUCGUGAGACAGUUCGGUCCCUAUCUGCCGUGGGCGCAAGAAGAUUGAGGAGAGUUGACCCUAGUACGAGAGGACCGGGUUGAACCGACCACUGGUGUACCAGUUAUCCUGCCAAGGGUAGCGCUGGGUAGCUAUGUCGGGAUGUGAUAACCGCUGAAAGCAUCUAAGCAGGAAGCCAACUCCAAGAUGAAUCUUCUUUUAAGAGCUCUUAUAGACUAUAAGUUUGAUAGGCUGGGUGUGUAAUGGAUGAAAGUCCUUUAGCUGACCAGUACUAAUAGCUCGUCUGCUUAUCUU